UGGGGAAUUUUGGACAAUGGGCGAAAGCCUGAUCCAGCAAUGCCGCGUGUGUGAAGAAGGCCUUCGGGUUGUAAAGCACUUUUGUCCGGAAAGAAAUCCUUGGCUCUAAUACAGUCGGGGGAUGACGGUACCGGAAGAAUAAGCACCGGCUAACUACGUGCCAGCAGCCGCGGUAAUACGUAGGGUGCAAGCGUUAAUCGGAAUUACUGGGCGUAAAGCGUGCGCAGGCGGUUUGCUAAGACCGAUGUGAAAUCCCCGGGCUCAACCUGGGAACUGCAUUGGUGACUGGCAGGCUAGAGUAUGGCAGAGGGGGGUAGAAUUCCACGUGUAGCAGUGAAAUGUGUAGAGAUGUGGAGGAAUACCGAUGGCGAAGGCAGCCCCCUGGGCCAAUACUGACGCUCAUGCACGAAAGCGUGGGGAGCAAAACAGGAUUAGAUACCCUGGUAGUCCACGCCCUAAAACGAUGUCAACUAGUUGUUGGGGAUUCAUUUCCUUAGUAACGUAGCUAACGCGUGAAGUUGACCGCCUGGGGAGUACGGUCGCAAGAUUAAAACUCAAAGGAAUUGACGGGGUCAUAGCUGUUUCCU
RNAcentral lists this ribosomal RNA (587 nucleotides) under uncultured bacterium. Its description in RNAcentral is "partial 16S ribosomal RNA". It matches the Rfam family "Bacterial small subunit ribosomal RNA", at positions 355 to 1375 of the family's 1533-position model. The record is from RNAcentral.